CCUACGGGAGGCAGCAGUGAGGAAUAUUGGUCAAUGGACGCAAGUCUGAACCAGCCAAGUAGCGUGCAGGAUGACUGCCCUAUGGGUUGUAAACUUCUUUUAUAUGGGACUAAAGUUCAGUAUGUAUACUGUCUUGUAUGUAUCUUAUUACUAAGGAUCGGCUAACUCCGUGCCAUCAGCCGCGGUAAUACGGAUGAUCCUAGCGUUAUCCGGAUUUAUUGGGUUUAAGGGGUGCGUAGGCUGUAGCUUAAGUCAGUUGUGAAAGUUUGGGGCUCAACUGCAGAAGUGCCGUUGAUACUGGAUGACGAGAGUAUAGAAGAGGUAGGCGGAAUGCGUGGUGUAGCGGUGAAAUGCGUAGAUAUCACGAAGAACACCGAUUGCGAAGGCAGCUUACUAAACUGUAACUGACGCUGAGGCUCGAAAGUGUGGGUAGCAAACAGGAUUAGAUACCCGGGUAGUC
Molecule: ribosomal RNA, 460 nt
Filed under: uncultured bacterium
Lineage: Bacteria
Description: partial 16S ribosomal RNA
Rfam family: Bacterial small subunit ribosomal RNA
Source: RNAcentral